GUCGAACAGACCUAGAACUUUAAGCUUCUGCACUUAAAUCUAAUUUUAAUCCAACAUCGAGGUCGCAAACUUUUCCAUCGAUAAGAACUCUCCAGAAAAAUUACGCUGUUAUCCCUAAGGUAAUUUAAUCUAAAUAUCCAUAAAACAGGAUCCUAAAAAUAAAAAUAAUUAAAUAUUAAAUUAUGAGAGUUUUUUUAAUCUCAAUAUCACCCCAAUAAAAUUACAACCCAAAUAAAUAAUAAAAAUAACCAUAAAUUAAAUAUAAAACUUAUAAUAAAAUUCUAUAGGGUCUUCUCGUCCCACUUAAAAAUUUAAGCUUUUUAACUUAAAAAUUAAAUUCAACUUUUUAAUAUAAAGAAAGUAAUUCCCUCAUCCAACCAUUCAUACAAGCCUUUAAUUAAAAGACAAAUGAUUAUGCUACCUUCGCACAGUCAAGAUACUG
This 442-nucleotide ribosomal RNA is filed under the name Nezara viridula (southern green stink bug). Its description in RNAcentral is "partial 16S ribosomal RNA". The record is from RNAcentral. Lineage: Eukaryota; Metazoa; Arthropoda; Insecta; Hemiptera; Pentatomidae.